Arachis stenosperma is the source of this 1328-nucleotide long non-coding RNA. RefSeq lists it as uncharacterized. The transcript has 7 exons. Lineage: Eukaryota; Viridiplantae; Streptophyta; Magnoliopsida; Fabales; Fabaceae. The record is from RefSeq and is a predicted model, not a curated record.
GCCCAAACAAGCCCUACUUCACUUUUAUUUCCAAAUUCACUUCUAACCUAGAAGAUAACCUAGAAGCCGUCGCACCCAGCAAGCCUUCGCAUCACUGCCGAUCACCAAGACCGUCGCACCACCCAGCUCACCGUCGUGUUCAUCUAACCCUCACACCCAGCCCUUUCUCUGUCGCACCCAACCCUCGUACCAUCAAACGGUCUCUCGCACCCACCAGCUGUUUCUCAACGGUCAUUCGCACCCAACCCUCGCACCAUCAACGCAACCCUCGUUGGAUUCGGAACCCUCCAGCGGUGCUGCUCCGUCCACGCACCCUCAGUGGUCUCUGUCUAGGCGUGCCCUACUACUCCCUCAGUGGUCUCUGUCUCGCAAACCCUCGUUGGAUUCGAAACCCUCAAUCGUUGCUGUCUCUCCCUCAAUCGGCACCGUAAACACUGAUUCUAUUGAAGAUGUUAAUGUGAGAAAUGAGACUGCUGGCUGCCCAGCAUUAACGGAGGCUGCCCAGCAUUGACGUAUAAUUUGGCGAGAAGCCAACCUGUCUAGCAGGAGUUGCAAGAGUGCUGAAACGAAUGCACUCAACAUGAAGGCCACCAUUAUGAUUUCUUUUUGAGUUGUGACACUGACAUUCAAUACUUUCACAGAAAACACCAAGCAGAGAUCCAAACAAAGGCCGAUUUGAGAUUAUAUUUGCUGGAUUUUGGAAUCAAAGAGUUUGUUUCUGCCUUGGGAAUCAAACGCAGUAAGUGACCAGAAAAAGUGGCUAAUAAGCCAGAAAAUGAGCAUGAAGCUGAGCCUCCUUCAUAUUUGCUUUCAUGAUCAUUGGAGCAAUGUUCUUUGGUGCUGAGGCUGAACCAUUGGAAGAUGAACAAGCUUUGCUUGAUUUCUUUCACAAAAUUGAUCACUCAGAGCAUCUCAAUUGGGGUUAUAAGACUUCUCUAUGCAAGAAGCUGGACAGGAGUAAAAUUGGUCACUGGUUCAAUUCCUCAUGUCAUCUUCUUACAGUGGAUAUGGCACCUCCAACUUACAACAAGUAAAAAAGCUCACAAAUGUUUCAGAAACAAUUAUGUAUGAUCUAAGGGAAGAAGUUUAAGAGGGCUAGAGGAAGGAGGAACAACAAAGGAAAUAGAAUUUAAGUUGUAUUGUUUCUGUAUUUUUUUCAGUUUAGUUUUGGAAUUCGAACUCGAGAUUUAUUUUGUAUGAGUAUUAGUUUUUUAAUGUAUAAAACAAUUAUCGCAAAAAUUGUCACUAAUUAUUGUUUGAUUUAUCUUGUACUAAAAAUUGCAUACUAUAUUUGUAGGUUUGGUAAUAAAAAAGGAUUGAAAAUUUAA